UACAGGGGGUGCAAACGUUGCUCGGAAUCAUUGGGCGUAAAGCGCGCGCAGGCGGUUCUUUAAGUCUGGUGUAUAAGUGCGGGGCUCAACCCCGUGAGGCACUGGAAACUGGGGAACUUGAGUGCAGAAGAGGAGAGCGGAAUUCCACGUGUAGCGGUGAAAUGCGUAGAGAUGUGGAGGAACACCAGUGGCGAAGGCGGCUCUCUGGACUGUAACUGACGCUGAGGCGCGAAAGCGUGGGGAGCAAACAGG
This 252-nucleotide ribosomal RNA is filed under the name uncultured bacterium. Its description in RNAcentral is "partial 16S ribosomal RNA". It matches the Rfam family "Bacterial small subunit ribosomal RNA", at positions 524 to 776 of the family's 1533-position model. The record is from RNAcentral.